This 301-nucleotide ribosomal RNA is filed under the name uncultured bacterium. RNAcentral's name for it is "partial 16S ribosomal RNA". It matches the Rfam family "Bacterial small subunit ribosomal RNA", at positions 509 to 809 of the family's 1533-position model. The record is from RNAcentral.
CAGCAGCCGCGGGAAUACGGAGGGUGCGAGCGUUAAUCGGAAUAACUGGGCGUAAAGGGCACGCAGGCGGUGACUUAAGUGAGGUGUGAAAGCCCCGGGCUUAACCUGGGAAUUGCAUUUCAUACUGGGUCGCUAGAGUACUUUAGGGAGGGGUAGAAUUCCACGUGUAGCGGUGAAAUGCGUAGAGAUGUGGAGGAAUACCGAAGGCGAAGGCAGCCCCUUGGGAAUGUACUGACGCUCAUGUGCGAAAGCGUGGGGAGCAAACAGGAUUAGAUACCCCCGUAGCCCUGUCUCUUAUACA